AAUGAAAGCCGACUUAGAGCUCAGUUCCAGAUUGACCUACAACUUGGUCAUAGACUGACCUCAAAAUAGAUGAUCCUGGGCAAAUUCAAUUGAUCUCGGAUUUGAUUUAAGUCCCACCUUAAUGUCUUAUCGACGACCAACCUACUUGACUAACAACACUCCUCAAUAAAAUUUCCUAAAAAUCUUGGGAUAGUUUCUUUUAGCUACAUGCAUGUGAGCUAGAUUAUCACAUAUAACACCCGAGAUCGUG
RNAcentral lists this long non-coding RNA (250 nucleotides) under Elaeis guineensis (African oil palm). RNAcentral's name for it is "long non-coding RNA (EGUI_LNC046811)". The record is from RNAcentral. Lineage: Eukaryota; Viridiplantae; Streptophyta; Magnoliopsida; Arecales; Arecaceae.